Orcinus orca (killer whale) is the source of this 2661-nucleotide long non-coding RNA. RefSeq lists it as uncharacterized. NCBI's taxonomy places the organism in Eukaryota, Metazoa, Chordata, Mammalia, Artiodactyla, Delphinidae. The transcript is spliced from 2 exons. The record is from RefSeq and is a predicted model, not a curated record.
AUUUUAGGUCUGUGAUCCAUUUUGAGUUUACUUUGUUAUAUGGUAUAAGAUAAAGGUUGAGAUUCAUUUUUUCAAUCUAUUUAGUUGAUCCAGCACCAUUUGAAAAGACUAUUUUUUUCCCCAUUCAGUUACCUUGACACCUUUGUUGAAAGUCAGUUGACGUGUUUUUUUUUUUUUUUUUUUUUUUGCGGUACGCGGGCCUCUCACUGUUGUGGCCUCUCCCGUUGCGGAGCACAGGCUCCGGAUGCGCAGGCUCAGCGGCCAUGGCUCACAGGCUCAGCCGCUCCACGGCAUGUGGUAUCUUCCCAGACUGGGGCACGAACCCGUGUCCCCUGCAUCGGCAGGCAGACUCUCAACCACUGCACCACCAGGGAAGCCCAUCAGUUGACCUUUUGUGUCAAUUUAUUUUUGGAUUCUAUAUUCUGUUCCAUUGACAUAUAUGUGUAUAUUUAAAUCAAUACCACGUUGUCCUGAUUACUUUAUAGUAAAUCUUGAAGUUAUGUAGUGUGAGCCCUCAAACUUUCUUCUUUUUCAAAAUUGUUUUGCUAUUUCAAAUUCUUUGUAUUUCCAUGUAAAUUUUUGUAAAAAGCUUGUAUAGUUCUACAAAGAAUAGUGCUGGAACUUAGAUUAGGAUUGCAUUGAAUCUAUAGAUCAGUUUGGGAAAGAAUAGACCUCUUAAUGAUAUGCAGCCUUUCAAUCCAUUAACAUGGUAUAUCCCUUUAUUUAUUUAGGUUUUCUUUAAUUUUUCUCAGCAAUGUUAGUCAUCUUCAUUUGUAAUCACACAUAUUAAAUUAAAUUUGUCCCCAAGUACUUUAUGUUUGUUGAUGUUAUUGUUAAUUUAAUUUUAAAUUAUUUAUUGGUAAUGUAUAGAAAUACAAUUAAUUUACAUACAGUUGACCCUUAAACAAUGUGGGUUUCAAUUUCACAGGUCCACUUUUGCUGGAUGUGUUAAUUAGUUUGAUUAUGGUAAUCAUUUUACAAUGUAUACAUAUAUCAAAUUAUUAUAUCAUGUUGUACACUUUAAAUAUAUUAAUUUUUUGUCAAUUAGUCCUCAAUAAACCUGGGAAGAAGAAUGAGAAAGCAAUGCAGCCCUAUUGACAUCUUGAUUUUAGUUCAGUGAAAUUUGUGUUGAACAUCUGACAGAGCUGUAAGAGAAUAAAUUUAUAUUGGUUUAAGCUUCUAAGUUUGUGGUAAAGUUGUUAUAGCAGCAAUAAAAAAUCAAUACAGAUAUGCUUAUAUGGGAUUUUUUUUGCCCGAUAAAGGAAGCGUAUGUGCCUCUAUGAAAAAAACUACAAAGCUCUGCUGAGAAAAUGUGAAGCGAUAAAGAUGUAUACAUGUCGCUGUAAAAGAAUAAAAAAUUGUUAAUAUAAUGGACCUUCUUAAAUUGAUUUAUAAAUUUAAUUUACUCAACAUAAAAAUUCCACAGGACUUUUUUGGGUAAAAUUUUCAAUAAUAUUCUAAAAUUUAUAUGAAGAAAUAGGUGAAAAUAGUUAAGAAGGUGCUUGGAUUUAUAUAAUUUCAGAGUGCUAAUUUCCUGAAUUAACUAACAUCCCUCUUUGGGAGAAGUAUAACAAUUUAUUGUCAAAUGGGCAAGUCCAAAUCAAGAAGACUCCAUGUCAAAUUCCUUAGGUAAAGAGAAUGAUGAUGUAUUGUGACCAAAGGGAGCAGGAUUAGAGGACCCUAUAGAUGGUCAGAGAGCUGCCAUAUAAAAUAGUUAUACCAAUUUUAAUGGAAAUAAUGGAAUGAAAUAGAAUAUGCUUAAUAAUAAAAAUAUAUCUAAUCUUUCUUUGAUUAUCUGAAAGGAAUCAGAAUUGACUGAGGCCUUUGGGUUAUUAUUCUACCAACUUCUGUUAACUUGUAGAGAUAAUGCUUAUGAGUACUUUAGGGAAUUGUGUUCCAGAUAAUAUGGACAUCCACAUACACAACACUGAGGGAGUGACUCACUAUCUCUGGCUAAAAGGUAAGAAAUGACUGAAAUGACAGAAAGUACUCAAAAGAAUAAAGAAUAAGAAGCAGUUUAAAUCCGGAGCCUGUGCUCCGCAACGGGAGAGGCCACAACAGUGAGAGGCCCGCGUACCGGUAAAAAAAAAAGAAGUUUAUUAAACUGCGGGAUGCUCAUGAAAAUAUCUAAACACCAUUACAUGCAAAUUGACAAAAAAAUGUAGCAUAUUGUCAAUCCCCUCCAAUUUUCAUAUAUAGCCCAAGUCAAAACGAAAGGUUUAUGUAUUUGUGAUGAAAUUAGGCCCAGAUAUCACUACUACACACAUAUGAAAAACUGAGAAAAAUGAUCUAAUUAUCCCUCUACAUUCUGGACUUUUAUAUGUAUAGAUUUUCACACUCGUUAGUACCUUUUAUGCAGAAGUAAAUUCCUAAGGCCUUAUUUGUUUAUUUCUAUUAUGGCAAUAUUAGUUACUCUAUUGCAGAGAAGAUGAUUGUAAACUGAGGAAUUCAGCUGUCUAUUACAAAGUUGCUGAACAAAUUUCUAUAUGAUAAAUAAUGAUCCUUGUCUCCUCUUUAAAGUAAGUCAACCACAGAACCAAGAGUCAAGAUAUCUUCAUUUUACUCUUUACUCUUCUACUUAUUUAAUGAACACAUUUUAUCUUAUCCCUGAGUCUAAAAAGCUAUUUCUGUGAAUUGGAGAAUAAAUGCUUUUUUUUUUAA